This 492-nucleotide ribosomal RNA is filed under the name uncultured bacterium. Its description in RNAcentral is "partial 16S ribosomal RNA". It matches the Rfam family "Bacterial small subunit ribosomal RNA", at positions 29 to 507 of the family's 1533-position model. The record is from RNAcentral.
AGUGAACGCUGGCGGUAGGCCUAACACAUGCAAGUCGAACGGCAGCACAGUAAGAGCUUGCUCUUACGGGUGGCGAGUGGCGGACGGGUGAGGAAUACAUCGGAAUCUACUUUUUCGUGGGGGAUAACGUAGGGAAACUUACGCUAAUACCGCAUACGACCUACGGGUGAAAGCAGGGGAUCUUCGGACCUUGCGCGAUUGAAUGAGCCGAUGUCGGAUUAGCUAGUUGGCGGGGUAAAGGCCCACCAAGGCGACGAUCCGUAGCUGGUCUGAGAGGAUGAUCAGCCCCACUGGAACUGAGACACGGUCCAGACUCCUACGGGAGGCAGCAGUGGGGACUAUUGGACAAUGGGCGCAAGCCUGAUCCAGCCAUACCGCGUGGGUGAAGAAGGCCUUCGGGUUGUAAAGCCCUUUUGUUGGGAAAGAAAAGCAGCAGGUUAAUACCCCGCUGUUCUGACGGUACCCAAAGAAUAAGCACCGGCUAACUUCGUG